Molecule: ribosomal RNA, 467 nt
Filed under: uncultured bacterium
Lineage: Bacteria
Description: partial 16S ribosomal RNA
Rfam family: Bacterial small subunit ribosomal RNA
Source: RNAcentral
GACGAACGCUGGCGGCGUGCUUAACACAUGCAAGUCGAACGGAAAGGCCUCUUUCGGGGGGUACUCGAGUGGCGAACGGGUGAGUAACACGUGAGUAACCUGCCCUUGACUUUGGGAUAACUUCAGGAAACUGGGGCUAAUACCGGAUAGGAGCUCCUGCUGCAUGGUGGGGGUUGGAAAGUUUCGGCGGUUGGGGAUGGACUCGCGGCUUAUCAGCUUGUUGGUGGGGUAGUGGCUUACCAAGGCUUUGACGGGUAGCCGGCCUGAGAGGGUGACCGGCCACAUUGGGACUGAGAGACGGCCCAGACUCCUACGGGAGGCAGCAGUGGGGAAUAUUGCACAAGGGGUGGAAGCCUGAUGCAGCAACGCCGGGUGCGGGAUGACGGCCUUCGGGUUGUAAACCGCUUUCGCUCAUGACGAAGCUUUGUGUGACGGUAGUGGGUAAAGAAGCACCGGCUAACUACGUG